AGGAUUUCAUAAAGUCAUCAGCCUUACUUUCUCUUCCAGAAUCCUCAACGUCCAAUGGCAAGCCAAGAGUCAGAAUGACUGGUGAUGGCCCAGAAUGCAGUGGAUGACUUUGGAGACUUCUGUGUCUAACCAAGUUCUAAGGACUCCGUUGCAAGUAUUUCGUAGGCUUCAUGGCCAUUGAAACAAAGUGUUGCCAUCUGCCCAUUCCACCAGAGGAAGUCUUCAUAGAUUUGCUGACAGUCUUUGAUUCAAUACACAUUUGCUGAACACCCAUUGUGUGCAAGCUGUCCACUCAGUGGGCUAAAGAAAUGAAGAAAAUAUGGAUUCUGCCCUCAAGGACAUUAUAAGGGUGAAGAAGUGUCCAGAAAGAUCCUGGGAAGGCAGCUGAAACAGAACUGGGGAAUAAGGAAGAAUUUUCACUGAACGUGGAAGGGUUACAGAAUGAGAAAAAGACAACUUAUUCAUGCCUGCAUAAGGAAUAGAAUUGAUACAAGAAUACCUAAGAAAAGAGACUUUCUUCCUUCUUGCUUCAAAAGAAGACACGUGGUUCUAGAACCUCUUCAGGGAGAAACUUGGAAAGAAACAGAACAAACUUUGGGAGCCAAUAUGUACAGAAAAGUUAGUUCCCCAAUAUAGUACUUUUUUCUAAUCUGCUUUCCUAGAAACAUUGGAGAAUGUCCCUUGCAAAAGAUCAAGGACUCUAGAUUUUCUGAAGUGUCUCACCAGUAGAAUAGUCAUUCAUUCUGUUCAUUAUCUUAUAUAUUCUAAUCUGUAUAACUUCUCUGAUUUCUGUUUGCUGCCUGCACGAUAAUUAGGUUUACUCAUUAUUCAUUAUUUGUGAUAGUCUUUUGUAGAAUUAGCAUUUGUUGGAAAAGAGUCAGGUUUUAGCAUAUAAGCUAGGGCUACCUUUUUUCUUGUUAGAUUAUAACAACCAGGAAAUAAAUUUGAACCGAAGACAAAUAUUAUUUCACCUAAACUACAAGUAUUUGGAGGGCAGAUAUAAUCCUAGUCUAAACUCCUAUGAAUUUAAUUAUCAUUUACAUAUUGAUGAACCUCCAAUCUUUCUAUUUUACCCCAAUACCUUUGCUGACCUACAAACUUGCAUUUCCUCGGUGAUCCAAAGCUUUAUGGAAUAGACUUUGGACAAAAAUGCCAUCUGCAUCCAGAAAAAAAAAAAAAA
Molecule: long non-coding RNA, 1180 nt
Organism: Sarcophilus harrisii (Tasmanian devil)
Lineage: Eukaryota; Metazoa; Chordata; Mammalia; Dasyuromorphia; Dasyuridae
Exons: 4
Source: RefSeq, a predicted model, not a curated record